AUAAUGAAGCAGUCUCUAUAGCUGUCUAUGAUAGUCAGGUCAAAAGUGGAUUUGGGCAUAGGCUGAAUCCACUCACAAGCAUAUACUCAGCUGAAUCCAUAGCUGUAUACACAGCUAUGGAGCACAUUCAAACACAGACUCACCAAAAGUGGAUUAUAAUAACGGACAGUUUAAGCUUAUUAAUGGCAUUACAAAAUCCACAAUUAAAUUCAAAAACUAACUAUAUUAUAUAUAAAUUAAGGGAGUUGUAUCACUUGCUGUCACAAAACAAGCAAAUAGUCCUCUUCUGGACACCAGCCCACAUUGGUGUGAAUGUUUAGUAUUCAAAGGAUGGUCCUUGUAGAUCAACUUUUAAGUAUUUUUAAAACUGCUGAAGAUAUCCCGCGCUCCCUUCAGCAAAUAUUAAGCAUUCAAGAAUGCU
Molecule: long non-coding RNA, 421 nt
Organism: Danaus plexippus (monarch butterfly)
Lineage: Eukaryota; Metazoa; Arthropoda; Insecta; Lepidoptera; Nymphalidae
Exons: 2
Source: RefSeq, a predicted model, not a curated record